AGGUCUUACAGCCUUCUGCUCAGCAGAGGCUUCUGGAGAAGAUGGCCAAAGGCUCAUGGACGAUGAACAGUCAAUUGCAGCACCAACACAUCCCAAGGAAACGCUCACUGAAGUUCAUUCAACAGGCGUGAGCAUUUUACCCAGAUCCUUUGUCUUUGAGGUUUUCCUUCAUAGAAUAAAGGUCCGUUUUCACUUGUGUGUGUUCUUAAUGCCGCAGCUGAAGAGGACUGGGAGCCUGACCUGCAGAAACAUGGCUUAUUUAGCUUUGUAACGAUAUUGUAGUGACUUGCUGAUGCAGAUGUUUUCUAUAUGGAUUUUCAUGUAAUAAUGUGUGUGAGCGCUGUGUGUGUUCUGCCAUGGAUUGGAGCCCUGUCUUGGGUUAUUCCUUACCUCGUGCCCUUAGUUUCUGGGAUAGGCCCUGCAUCUCUGCUAAACUGAAUAGAACAAGUGAGUACAGAAAAUGGAUGGAUGGAUUUUCAUGAAAUCAACUGGAAAACUUGCUGCAUCACGACUGAUUGUCUACCAAAAUUGUCUGGAGUGCCAAUCCUGCCACUAACCCACAAAUUUUCCCAGUACGUUGGACUACCACCUUGAGGAACAAAGCGAAUGCAGAUUAAGGGCUCUGCUCAAGGACCCAACAGGGUAGCAACUUUUUGAUUGCUGACACAGACCCCUAGCCUCAGAGCCACCACUCCACACCAAGAAGAUCACUGGUAAAUUACACACUGAAGCAAAGUACUGUUGAACUUCCACCUUGGUAAAAAAAAAAAAAAAAAAAAAAACAUGUGAGAACAGAUUGAACCAUUUUAUUUACCCACAGGUUAGAUAUGGGGUUACAUCAUGUCUGCCAAGCUGAUUUAUAAAAGUGAAACUUUUGCACUCUGUCAGCUGUGUCAUGAUUUUCAUUUACACCGAGUUUGGGAUAUAAGAAAAA
This is a long non-coding RNA of Brienomyrus brachyistius, 934 nucleotides long. RefSeq lists it as uncharacterized. The record is from RefSeq and is a predicted model, not a curated record. The transcript is spliced from 2 exons. Lineage: Eukaryota; Metazoa; Chordata; Actinopteri; Osteoglossiformes; Mormyridae.